GCCCAUGAGGUGUAACACGCCAAAAUGCAAAUUUGGAGACGCACCCUAAAGGUGCCGGGGCUUCUCCCGUUUUAAAGAGACGGGAGAAGA
Molecule: transfer RNA, 90 nt
Filed under: Cyrtodactylus angularis (Angulated bow-fingered gecko)
Lineage: Eukaryota; Metazoa; Chordata; Lepidosauria; Squamata; Gekkonidae
Description: tRNA-Cys
Source: RNAcentral